This 253-nucleotide ribosomal RNA is filed under the name uncultured bacterium. Its description in RNAcentral is "partial 16S ribosomal RNA". It matches the Rfam family "Bacterial small subunit ribosomal RNA", at positions 524 to 776 of the family's 1533-position model. The record is from RNAcentral.
UACGUAGGGCGCAAGCGUUGUCCGGAAUUAUUGGGCGUAAAGAGCUCGUAGGCGGUUUGUCACGUCUGCUGUGAAAUCCCGAGGCUCAACCUCGGGCCUGCAGUGGGUACGGGCAGACUGGAGUGCGGUAGGGGAGAAUGGAAUUCCUGGUGUAGCGGUGGAAUGCGCAGAUAUCAGGAGGAACACCGAUGGCGAAGGCAGUUCUCUGGGCCGUAACUGACGCUGAGGCGCGAAAGCGUGGGGAGCGAACAGG